UGGGGAAUCUUGCACAAUGGGGGCAACCCUGAUGCAGCGACGCCGCGUGAGCGAUGAAGGUUUUCGAAUCGUAAAGCUCUGUCCUAUGGGAAGAUAAUGACGGUACCAUAGGAGGAAGCCCCGGCUAACUACGUGCCAGCAGCCGCGGUAAUACGUAGGGGGCGAGCGUUGUCCGGAAUUACUGGGCGUAAAGGGUUCGCAGGCGGCAUGGCAAGUCCGAUGUAAAAGGCGAAGGCUCAACCUUCGUAAGCAUCGGAAACUGUCAAGCUUGAGUGAAGGAGAGGCAAGUGGAAUUCCUAGUGUAGCGGUGGAAUGCGUAGAUAUUAGGAGGAAUACCGGUGGCGAAGGCGACCUGCUGGACUUCAACUGACGCUGAGGAACGAAAGCGUGGGUAGCAAACAGG
RNAcentral lists this ribosomal RNA (403 nucleotides) under Verrucomicrobiota bacterium. Its description in RNAcentral is "Verrucomicrobia bacterium partial 16S ribosomal RNA". It matches the Rfam family "Bacterial small subunit ribosomal RNA", at positions 355 to 776 of the family's 1533-position model. The record is from RNAcentral. Lineage: Bacteria; Pseudomonadati; Verrucomicrobiota.